This 607-nucleotide ribosomal RNA is filed under the name Trichoderma sp. T004-R2-2. RNAcentral describes it as "eukaryotic LSU rRNA". The stretch from base 230 to 383 matches the Rfam family "5.8S ribosomal RNA". The record is from RNAcentral. Lineage: Eukaryota; Fungi; Ascomycota; Sordariomycetes; Hypocreales; Hypocreaceae.
AGUCGUAACAAGGUCUCCGUUGGUGAACCAGCGGAGGGAUCAUUACCGAGUUUACAACUCCCAAACCCAAUGUGAACCAUACCAAACUGUUGCCUCGGCGGGGUCACGCCCCGGGUGCGUCGCAGCCCCGGAACCAGGCGCCCGCCGGAGGGACCAACCAAACUCUUUCUGUAGUCCCCUCGCGGACGUUAUUUCUUACAGCUCUGAGCAAAAAUUCAAAAUGAAUCAAAACUUUCAACAACGGAUCUCUUGGUUCUGGCAUCGAUGAAGAACGCAGCGAAAUGCGAUAAGUAAUGUGAAUUGCAGAAUUCAGUGAAUCAUCGAAUCUUUGAACGCACAUUGCGCCCGCCAGUAUUCUGGCGGGCAUGCCUGUCCGAGCGUCAUUUCAACCCUCGAACCCCUCCGGGGGGUCGGCGUUGGGGAUCGGGAACCCCUAAGACGGGAUCCCGGCCCCGAAAUACAGUGGCGGUCUCGCCGCAGCCUCUCCUGCGCAGUAGUUUGCACAACUCGCACCGGGAGCGCGGCGCGUCCACGUCCGUAAAACACCCAACUUUCUGAGAUGUUGACCUCGGAUCAGGUAGGAAUACCCGCUGAACUUAAGCAUAUC